Molecule: long non-coding RNA, 1043 nt
Filed under: Homo sapiens (human)
Lineage: Eukaryota; Metazoa; Chordata; Mammalia; Primates; Hominidae
Description: HSALNT0297315
Source: RNAcentral
GAUUAGUGCCCUUAUAAAAGAGGCCCCAGAGACCUCUCUGAUAUGGUUUGGCUGUGUCCCCACCCAAAUCUCAUCUUGAAUUUUAGCUCUCAUUAAUUCUUACGUGUUGUGGGAAGGACCCAGUGGGAAAUAAUUUCAUCAUGGGGGUGGUUUCCUUCAUACUAUUCUUGUGGUAGUGAAUAAGUCUCAUAAAAGCUGAUGGUUUUAUAAGGGGAAACCCCUUUCGUUUGCCUCUCAUCUUCUCUUGCCUGCUGCCAUAUAUGACAUGCCUUUUGCCUUCCACCAUGAUUGUGAGGCCUCUCCAGCCAUGUGGAACUGUGAGUCCAUUAAAUGUCUUUUUCUUUAUAAAUUGCCAAGUCUUAGGUAUGUCUUUAUCAGCAGUGUGAAUAUGGACUAAUACACUCUCUUUGCUUUCUGCCAUUUGAGGGCACAGGAAAGUCUGCAAUCUACAACCUGGAAAAAGGUUUUCACCAGACCCAACCAUGCUGGCACUUGGAUCUCAGACUUCCAGACUCCAGGACUGUGAGAAAUAAAUUCCUGUUGUUUAAAAGCCACCCAGCUCAUGGUAUUGUGUUAUAGCAGCCUGAGCUAAGACAGAAUCAACCAUUUAUUCUCUAAAAUUUCAAUUUUAGAUGGCUGAUGUUGGAAGGGAAUAAAACUGAUGGGAAAGACAGGGACAUCAGCAUCAUCUGACAAAAUGAAGAAUGAAGAGAUACUGCUAUGAUUUGAAUGUGUCCUCCGAAAUUCAUGUGUUGGAAAGUUAAUCUCCAGUCCAACUGUGUUGGGAGGUAGAGCCUUCUGAAGGGUUUAUAUUAUGAGGGUGCAGUCCUUAUGAAUUGAUUCAUGCCACCAUUAAAAGGGCUUUCAGGAGUGGGUUGGCUCCUUCUGCUUUUCUGCCAUGUGAGGACUCAGCACUCCUCCUCUCCAGAGGUGUGGCGACAAGGUGCCAUCUUUGAACCAGAGUCCAAACCUGCUAGCGUCUUGAUAUUGAACUUCCCAGCUUCCAGAACCAUGAGAAAUAAAUUUCUGUUCCUUAUACAUUA